This 390-nucleotide ribosomal RNA is filed under the name uncultured bacterium. RNAcentral describes it as "bacterial SSU rRNA". It matches the Rfam family "Bacterial small subunit ribosomal RNA", at positions 28 to 419 of the family's 1533-position model. The record is from RNAcentral.
GACGAACGCUGGCGGCGUGCUUAACACAUGCAAGUCGAGCGGUAAGGCCCUUUCGGGGGUACACGAGCGGCGAACGGGUGAGUAACACGUGGGUGACCUGCCCUCAGCUCUGGGAUAAGCCUGGGAAACCGGGUCUAAUACUGGAUAUGACUCCAUGACGCAUGUUGUGGGGUGGAAAGCCUUGUGCGGCUGAGGAUGGGCCCGCGGCCUAUCAGCUUGUUGGUGGGGUGAUGGCCUACCAAGGCGACGACGGGUAGCCGGCCUGAGAGGGCGACCGGCCACACUGGGACUGAGACACGGCCCAGACUCCUACGGGAGGCAGCAGUGGGGAAUCUUGCGCAAUGGGCGAAAGCCUGACGCAGCGACGCCGCGUGAGGGAUGACGGCCUGG